GUGAACUGGUUCAGCUGGUAAGACUGGUUAUGAAUCAAGAGGAGGAGCUGCAGACAGGUGAGGGUGUUAAAGUCCAAGUAUGAAGUCCGACUGCCAGACACCAUUUUACACCUGGACGGAGCAGGAGGACAACAGGUGUUACUAGUUUAUCUCUCAGACUGGAGAAGAUGAGUGGUUUACAAGAUGAGGAAGAGGACACAUCUUCAGUCCCCAGCUGUCUGUCUCUGAAGAGUGACCGGUCUAAUAAGCAACCUCUAAACUUCAGUAAUGAACCUGGACCCUCAGACACAAAACAGAGAGCAGAGUCUCCAGUCCCCAGCUGUUUGUCUCUGAAGAGUGACUGGUCUAUGUGGGAGCCUCCAUACCUCAGUAAUGAACCUGGACCCUCAGACACAAAGUAAGAGUUUCUGCUGUAACCUGAUGAGGAUCCAGUUUUUAUAUAAUCUAAUAUAUCUUUAACCUGUUAAACCUGAUUGCUGGUGGCAAUCAAAAGUUGUGUUAAUGGCAUUAAAACACAUAUAAACGCUGCUGAAGGUUAAUCCAAUGUGUCUGUGUCACUUUGAAAUGAUUACUGAUAAUCCAUCAUCACAUUUAUGGCAAUAAAACUGUUCUUUAAUGAUCGCAGUGAAGAAACUCAGUUGAGUACAGUAAUACAGUUUAAACUCAUG
This is a long non-coding RNA of Gymnodraco acuticeps, 668 nucleotides long. RefSeq lists it as uncharacterized. NCBI's taxonomy places the organism in Eukaryota, Metazoa, Chordata, Actinopteri, Perciformes, Bathydraconidae. The transcript is spliced from 3 exons. The record is from RefSeq and is a predicted model, not a curated record.